ACAGUCUCCAGGCUGCAGCAUCUGGUGAGGAAGGGAAGGUGUAUGGCUGCAUUGUUUUUCUCUUGGUGUUCAACUGGAAUAGAGCAGGAAAUUGCUUUGGAGAUGAGGAAACAAACUCUUAUGGAGACCUAAGAGACUGAAGACAUCUGGCGUGGACUACUCUGAUGACUCAUUGCUUCCAGCUGUUCGUGGACCAAUACUAGAUGCCAGCAAUAGAGAAAUCACUGCAGUUCCCCAAAGGAAAAAAGUCACGUGUUCAUGAUGAUCAAACACAGCUGUUUGAUUGGUGUUAAAAUGGAUCUGCCUGAUAAGACCUGGAACUGAGAACCCAAACAGAGCCUUAAGGAUGACACAUGCUUCAUACAGUAAGUGCUUCAGAUGCUACCCAUGGAGGAUAGGUUUCAGAGCCUGCAGAUUUAAGGUGAGCAAGCAAUAAAGAUUUGUCGUAUCGUUCACUGAGAUUUGGGGGUUGUUUGCUACCACAGCAUAAUCAAGCCAUGCUAUUAUAGCUGGUAAAUCAAAAGAGCU
This 528-nucleotide long non-coding RNA is filed under the name Homo sapiens (human). RNAcentral's name for it is "non-protein coding LINC00461:51". The record is from RNAcentral. Lineage: Eukaryota; Metazoa; Chordata; Mammalia; Primates; Hominidae.